RNAcentral lists this ribosomal RNA (34 nucleotides) under Diplodia seriata. Its description in RNAcentral is "partial 18S ribosomal RNA". Lineage: Eukaryota; Fungi; Ascomycota; Dothideomycetes; Botryosphaeriales; Botryosphaeriaceae. The record is from RNAcentral.
UUUCCGAGAGGGGGUACUGCGGAAGGAUCAUUAC